This 1363-nucleotide ribosomal RNA is filed under the name uncultured bacterium. RNAcentral describes it as "bacterial SSU rRNA". It matches the Rfam family "Bacterial small subunit ribosomal RNA", at positions 28 to 1381 of the family's 1533-position model. The record is from RNAcentral.
AUUGAACGCUGGCUGCAGGCCUAACACAUGCAAGUCGAACGGUAACAGGAAACAGCUUGCUGUUUCGCUGACGAGUGGCGGACGGGUGAGUAAUGUCUGGGAAACUGCCUGAUGGAGGGGGAUAACUACUGGAAACGGUAGCUAAUACCGCAUAACGUCGCAAGACCAAAGAGGGGGACCCUCGGGCCUCUUGCCAUCGGAUGUGCCCAGAUGGGAUUAGCUUGUUGGUGGGGUAACGGCUCACCAAGGCGACGAUCCCUAGCUGGUCUGAGAGGAUGACCAGCCACACUGGAACUGAGACACGGUUCAGACUCCUACGGGAGGCAGCAGUGGGGAAUAUUGCACAAUGGGCGCAAGCCUGAUGCAGCCAUGCCGCGUGUAUGAAGAAGGCCUUCGGGUUGUAAAGUACUUUCAGCGGGGAGGAAGGGAGUAAAGUUAAUACCUUUGCUCAUUGACGUUACCCGCAGAAGAAGCACCGGCUAACUCCGUGCCAGCAGCCGCGGUAAUACGGAGGGUGCAAGCGUUAAUCGGAAUUACUGGGCGUAAAGCGCACGCAGGCGGUUUGUUAGGUCAGAUGUGAAAUCCCCGGGCUCAACCUGGGAACUGCAUCUGAUACUGGCAAGCUUGAGUCUCGUAGAGGGGGGUAGAAUUCCAGGUGUAGCGGUGAAAUGCGUAGAGAUCUGGAGGAAUACCGGUGGCGAAGGCGGCCCCCUGGACGAAGACUGACGCUCAGGUGCGAAAGCGUGGGGAGCAAACAGGAUUAGAUACCCUGGUAGUCCACGCCGUAAACGAUGUCGACUUGGAGGUUGUGCCCUUGAGGCGUGGCUUCCGGAGCUAACGCGUUAAGUCGACCGCCUGGGGAGUACGGCCGCAAGGUUAAAACUCAAAUGAAUUGACGGGGGCCCGCACAAGCGGUGGAGCAUGUGGUUUAAUUCGAUGCAACGCGAAGAACCUUACCUGGUCUUGACAUCCACGGAAGUUUUCAGAGAUGAGAAUGUGCCUUCGGGAACCGUGAGACAGGUGCUGCAUGGCUGUCGUCAGCUCGUGUUGUGAAAUGUUGGGUUAAGUCCCGCAACGAGCGCAACCCUUAUCCUUUGUUGCCAGCGGUCCGGCCGGGAACUCAAAGGAGACUGCCAGUGAUAAACUGGAGGAAGGUGGGGAUGACAUCAAGUCAUCAUGGCCCUUACGACCAGGGCUACACACGUGCUACAAUGGCGCAUACAAAGAGAAGCGACCUCGCGAGAGCAAGCGGACCUCAUAAAGUGCGUCGUAGUCCGGAUUGGAGUCUGCAACUCGACUCCAUGAAGUCGGAAUCGCUAGUAAUCGUGGAUCAGAAUGCCACGGUGAAUACGUUCCCGGGCCU